AUGAACGCUGGCGGCGUGCCUAAUACAUGCAAGUCGAGCGAACGGACGAGAAGCUUGCUUUUCUGAUGUUAGCGGCGGACGGGUGAGUAACACGUGGAUAACCUACCUAUAAGACUGGGAUAACUUCGGGAAACCGGAGCUAAUACCGGAUAAUAUUUUGAACCGCAUGGUUCAAAAGUGAAAGACGGUCUUGCUGUCACUUAUAGAUGGAUCCGCGCUGCAUUAGCUAGUUGGUAAGGUAACGGCUUACCAAGGCAACGAUGCAUAGCCGACCUGAGAGGGUGAUCGGCCACACGGGAACUGAGACACGGUCCAGACUCCUACGGGAGGCAGCAGUAGGGAAUCUUCCGCAAUGGGCGAAAGCCUGACGGAGCAACGCCGCGUGAGUGAUGAAGGUCUUCGGAUCGUAAAACUCUGUUAUUAGGGAAGAACAUAUGUGUAAGUAACUGUGCACAUCUUGACGGUACCUAAUCAGAAAGCCACGGCUAACUACGUG
This 496-nucleotide ribosomal RNA is filed under the name uncultured bacterium. RNAcentral's name for it is "partial 16S ribosomal RNA". It matches the Rfam family "Bacterial small subunit ribosomal RNA", at positions 29 to 507 of the family's 1533-position model. The record is from RNAcentral.